UAAACCCGCAGACGCUGCGGCCCUCCAGGACUGGAGUUAAACCCGCAGACGCUGCGGCCCUCCAGGACUGGAGUUUGACACCUGUGUCUUAAUGGAAUGGUAAAAUCUCCUGGACUGUUGGUGCAAACAUUGGUGUGUACUUUGAUUGACAGAUUUACAUUCCAUUUAUUUCCACAGGUGUGGCAGACAACAUGGAGGAAAAGAUGUACAGUGCAAAUGAUGACAUCGUUCUUCUGGGCGUGACACCAGGAGCUGAAGGGGAAGAUGAUUGGUGCUUUUCCCCUAAAGGUUCUCCAGGAUAUGAAGAUAUCUCACCUAGAUCGACAUGUUAAUUUAGCAAAGUCUGGGAUUAUUUAACAUUUGCAUUAUUAUUAUAAUUAUCAUCAUUAUUAUUGUUUAUAAUGCUCCCUGUCAGAUCUAUAACGCUUAUAGUGAUUCCGUUUAAAGAGGAGAACUGUGUAGGAGAGUCUGCACAAGGCAAAGAAACAGCACAGGCCUUGAUGACUCGUACUCUUUUUGAAGAAAGAAAGAAAAAAGAAAGACCGAAAGAAAGAAAGGCAGCAUCCAAAGCACAGUUUGGAAAUGUUAGUGAAGAACUUUGUGUCAGUAGGCACUGAAAUCUGGAUUUAUGAGGCGAAACAAUGAAGGCUUCUGCUUCUCACUCCAAGAUGCUGGAGUGGAGUUGUUCUUAAGAUGCACACUGACCCUCCUAAACCCUACCUCCACCACUGUGACCCAGUAUCGGAGCAUGAUGAAGAUGAUCCAUGGAUGUCAAGGAGAUGACUCUUAUUCACGUUGCUGAUGUGGCCAAAAUGGGGUGACAGUGUUUAAGUCCUGUGGAACAUCAGAAAUCUCAAACUCCAGUCCCUGGAGGGCCGCAGUGUCUGCAGAUUUUUGUGCUUUUUUCUCUCAAUGACCAGCCAAUUUAGGUCUUGGAAAAAAGUCUUCUUUUAAAAAAAAAAAAAAAAUUCCACCUGUAGAUGGCGACUAUCGAAAGCAUCUUGGUCAAGAGACAACACGGAGGAUUCUCAAGUGUGUAUACUUGUAUGUAGAGGCCUGAGGUUAUGCACAGCUGUGACAGGCCAAUGAUAUUUUUCUUACAAAAUGGCUGACAUUGAUUAUAUAUAGCAUGUGCACCUUUUAUACAGCUGGGAUAUCUACUGGAAAAAUCACACUAAGGGUCAGUUGCUUAACUAUAUGCUGCAGUGGCCUACCUGUGAUUCAAACCUGCAACACCUUGGUUUCAAACCCAGCUGAAAUGUGAAAUGCAGUCCAUGGAAUUUGUCAGUUAAACUGUGAUUUCUGAACCUGCCCAGCUUGUAUUUGAGGAGGAAUAAAAAUUGCACUUAUUUGUUUGUUAAAGUUA
Anguilla anguilla (European eel) is the source of this 1366-nucleotide long non-coding RNA. RefSeq lists it as uncharacterized. The transcript is spliced from 3 exons. The record is from RefSeq and is a predicted model, not a curated record. Lineage: Eukaryota; Metazoa; Chordata; Actinopteri; Anguilliformes; Anguillidae.